GUUCAAAAUAGUUAAAAGUUUUGGUGUUUGUUCGAGUGGAAGAAGUAAAGUCACCUUCUCAACUCGUCGUGUUCCGGUCGCUGUCAAGAAUCAGGGACCUUAUGAAGGAACGUGGUUCUUGGCUCAAUAUACUUUUUGGCUGCCAGCUGGAAGUACGAAAAGUUGAUGCAUAGUCUCCAACAGUGGCAUAAGGGGCAGACGCG
This 203-nucleotide unclassified non-coding RNA is filed under the name Hevea brasiliensis (rubber tree). Lineage: Eukaryota; Viridiplantae; Streptophyta; Magnoliopsida; Malpighiales; Euphorbiaceae. The record is from RNAcentral.